CUAGGGCUUGCAGAAGCUUCCAGGCCUGCGCUGCCAUGGGGGACGCUAUCUUAAACAGGAAACCUAGCACUCUAACAGCCUUUUAACUACUGCCCCUUUCCCUUUUUUCCUGCCUUGUGUGAAGAUGUGAUGCGUGGAACCGUGGCAGCCAUCUUGCAACCAUGAAGUGAUGAGAAUGAGAACUAAAAGCCAAGCAGCUAAGGAUGGCAGAAGAAAGCCGGACAGGAGCUGGGUCUCUGUGAGCCCCGUUGAGCAUUCUGGAAGUUCUAAAAUGAAGCACUGGCAGAGCUACAAUCCUUCUGGAGGCUGCAGGAGGGAUCUAGCGCUUUGCCUUUUCCAGUUUAUAGAGGCUGCCCAUGUUCCUUGGCUCAUGGCCCCACAUGAUCUGACCUUCACAUUCAUCUUUAUGUCUCCUCUGUCUCUGACUUUCUUCUGUCUUUUUGUUUUUUGAACAGAGACAGGGUCUCACCCUGUCAUCCAGGCUGGAGUACAGUGGUGUGAUUAUAACCUACUGCAGCCUGGAACUGCUGGGCUCCAGCGAUCCUCUUGCCUUGGCCUCCCAAAGCUCUGGGACUAUAGGUGCACAUCACCACGCCUGGCCUCCUGCCUCUUUUUUGUCAGGAUCCUUGUGAUUAUAUUAAGCCCACCCAGAUAAUCCAGGAUCAUCUGCCCAUUUCAAGAUUUUUUUUUUUUUUUUGAGACGGAGUUUCCCUCUUGUUACCCAGGCUGGAGUACAAUGGCGUGAUUUUGGCUCACUGUAACCUCCACUUCCUGGGUUCAAGUGAUUCUCCUGCCUCAGCUUUCUGAGUAGCUGGGAUUACAGGUGUGUAAUUAGCCUGUAGGCACAAAAUUACCCACCAUGCCUGGCUAAUUUUAUAUUUUUAGAAGAGAUGGAGUUUCUCCACAUUGGUCAGGUUGGUCUCAAGCUCCCAACCUCAGGUGAUCUGCCUGCCUCAGCCUUCCAAAGUGCUGGGAUUACAAGCAUGAGCCAACACGCCCAGCCUCAAGAUUCUUAAUCAAGUUUGCAAAAUCCCAGGGAUUAGGACAUGGACAUCUUGGGCAGGGACAGGGAAGGGAUUGUUCUUUUGACCACAGCACAUCUUCCUUCUUCCCCACUCCAACCUUGAAGACCUAGUGGGCGCUGUCCCUCAGAGCCCCCCAUGAGAGUGUUCACAUGGCCCACACUGGCCAAUGUGGCCCUUGGAGGGGUUUCCCUGGAGUGGCAAAGCAGUGCGAUUUGAGUCAGGGACUGGCAGAGGUCCAGCCUCCUGUAAGGUUGAAGUUUUCAUCUGCAUUUGUGGAGAUGGAAACUGAGGUGUAGCAAGAAGGAAAUAGUUCUGGUGGCAUUUUUAUCAUCGGUUCCAAUUGUUCCCAAAGCCAGCAGUUUAGGGGUCAGUAUAUCCUCCAGUUGUUUUGGUUCAGUUGGGUUUCUGUCCCUGCAGAUCAAAAUCAUCUUGACAUAUACAGCAGCUAUUUUGAAUGAAGCCUAGACAGUACGGGAGUGCGGAGACAGCAGAAGCAGAGAUGAGUUAUCUUGAACCUAAUGAAGCUUGAGCUUCAGGGCUACUACCUUAUGUGAGUCCCUCUAAGGCCCUAGAUGGGAGUCGUGUUCAUACACUUUGCAGAAUUUUUAGAAGAUAUAUUAGUUGCAAUUAUUAGGACCACAACUAGCCAGGUACAGUGGUGUGUACCUGUGGUCCCAGCUACUCAGGAGGCUGAGGUGGGAGGAAUGCUUGAGCCCAGGAGUUUGAGAACAGCCUGGGCAACAUAGUGAUACCCCAUUCCCCAAAUAUAAAAUACAAUAAAAUAAAACAAAAUAUUAAGACCACAUCAGCCUCCUUCCAUUUCAAUAGAGGGGACUCUAUUAAAUCUUCCCCAUACCUAGCCCUGAAGUGAACAUGUGCAUUUAAAAAAACAGCUAUGAAGAAAUCAAGUCGAGGACAUGUUUAAUUUGUGUUAAAUAGGAUAUAUUUAUAGUCAUUUUGUUAAGUUUGCUAGUUGGUGGGGUAUAGAUAUGGUUUUUAGAAAAGCUCUUUCUCGGCUGGACGCAGUGGCUCACGCCUGUAAUCCCAGUGCUUUGGGAGGCCAAGACAGGUGGAUUACCUGAGGUCAGGAGUUCGAGACCAGCCUGGCCAACAUGGUGAAACCCCAUCUCUACUAAAAAUACAAAAAAUGAGCCGGGUGUGGUGACAGGCACCUGUAAUCCCAGGUACUCGGGAGGCUGAGGCAGGAGAAUUGCUUGAACCCAGGAGGUGGAGGUUGUAGUGAAAUGAGAUUGUGCCACUGCACUCCAGCCUGGGCGACGGAGUGAAACUCCGUCUCAAAAAAAGAGAGAAAAGCUCUGCUCUUUCUGCACUGACCCAUCCAGCCUCAUAACAAGAAGGUGCAGGGCAAGAGGUCAUAUUGGAGUAUGAAUGUGCCCCACAGUGCUGGCCACCAGAAACACAUGGGGAAUGGAUGAGAAACAAGUUGGAAAUGAACGGGGCCAAAGGCCAGUCUGUUGAAAAAUUCUUACAAUCAUCAAACUUGUAAAAUGGACAGUUGGAUUCUUUAUUUCUGGUCAGAAUUGAAAUUCUUUCCUGUCUGGAAUAUACUAGAUAAAGCUAUCUAGACACAUUAUACAUUUUUUUUUCAUUUUUUGAUGGAAAUUGUACAAAUUUAAAUUUAUUAGGAUUUCUGUGGAACCUGAUAAUAAACCCACAGAAUUAAAGCAAAUAGUGAGUAUGUUUUUGUGUAAAAUUGCGUGAUUCCUAUAUCCUAAUGUAUUGGACUAUGUCUUAGCAAGACAUUACCAAUAACAGAUUGUGAAGCUAAAAUAAACUUUUCUAAACUAUCAACCAUGCUAGAAAACAGCCUGAAAUCUCUUUCUAUUCCCUUUAUGGAUAAUGGUAUUUCAAACUUCUUGUCACAUGAAGAGACAGUCAAAGAGCAUGCAUCCAAAAAGGAAUGAAAAAAGUCUGUAGAAGUGUGUCAGAUAAUUCAUUAACACAAACUCAUAUUAUUUUUCUAUAUUUUGUAUUUUUCUGGUAUUUGCGGGCUUUUAAGCUUUGUGAUUUGUUUUAAUUUUUUUUUUUUUUUUGAGACAGAGUCUUGCUCUGUCGCCCAGGCUGGAGUGCAGUGGUGCAAUCUCGGCUCACUGCAAGCUCCGCCUCCCGGGUUCACGCCAUUCUCCUGCUUCAGCCUCCCGAGUAGUUGGGACUACAGGUGCCCCCCACCAUGCUCGGUUAAUUUUUUUGUAUUUUUAGUAGAGAUGGGGUUUCACUGUGUUAGCCAGGAUGGUCUCGAUCUCCUGACCUCGUGAUCCACCCGCCUCGGUCUCCCAAAGUGCUGGGAUUACAGGCAUGAGCCACCACGCCCGGCCUGUUAUAAUGUAUUUUCUAAUUCUAUUCAUUUUGAUAUUUAAUUUUGUAUUCAUAAUUUUUUUUUAAGAGUUGAGGUCUCACUGUGUCACACAGGCUACAUGUAGUGGUACAAUUAUAGCUCACUGCAGCCUCAAGCUCCUGGGCUCAAAUGACCCUCCCACCUCAGCCUCCCAAGUAGCUAGGACAUGCUCCCACCUCAGCCUCCCAAGUAGCUAGGUGUGCACCACCAUGCCUGCUUUAUGUAUUUAUUUAUUUUGUAGAGAUGGUCUUGCUAUGUUGCCCAGGCUGUUUUCCAACUCCUGAUUCAAGGGAUCCUCCCACCUAGGCCUCCCGAAGUGCUGAGAUUACAAGCAUGCGCCACUGGGCCUGGCCUGCAAUUUUGCAUUCAUUGUCUUUAAAAGAGCACCCCAUUAUUCAGGCCCCACUAACUGGAAUAGCUCCCAUACGCAGGCUACAGUGAAGAGAUGUAGGUGGCCAGCCUCCCUAGAACAGGGGCUGAGAGCCGAGGAAUCAUGGCAAGCAGGUAGAGAGGGAGACAGGUGGGGACACUGAGGAUGGAGGAUGUGAAAAGCUGAGUGUGGGAGGACAGGCUCGUUGAGGUUGAUACUGCAUGAUGGGUUCCUGUCAUGGAGAGUGACAGGAGAGAGGGGCUCCUUUUCUCUGGGAACAGAUGUUUCCAGCUGCUUCAACCUUCUGCACCUGUAAUGAGUGGAGAGAUGAUUAAAGACUAAAACAGGUGGUAUGUUCCAGAAUCCUGAAAAAGAGUCAAAAACAUGUCACUCUCUGUAACUGAGAUUUUUAAGAGCCAGCAUCAAAUGGAUGAGGGUAAUCACAGGUUGGGUGCCUCCCAGAUCUCACAAGAGUCCUCAAGGAAUAAGGUAGCCCCUCAAUUCAUCAAGAGUUGAGAGUGUAUACUCAAACCCCAUCCAGGAAGCACCAAUUUAAAUGUAACUAAUAAAAAAAUGCACUUUCCAAUAAUACAGCUAAAAGGAUAAUGACAUAUGAUAAAGUAUUUAAAAAGCAAAUUUAAAAGUGGCAGUUCCACAUGCAUACAUACAUACACAGAUGAAUACAUUAGACUAAAAAAACUAUGAGGCAGAAAACAUCUAAUGAUUUUUAUGCAAGGACAAAUGACACAUAGGGAAAACAUGUGUAACUCAUAGCCAAAAAAUAAUUUUCCUAAUGUAUCAGCACUCCUAUAAAUUGAUUUUUUAAACCCAAAAUCUAAUAGAAAAUUAGGUAGUUCAUAAGAAAGGAAAUAGAAAUGCCUCCUAGAUAUAGG
Molecule: long non-coding RNA, 4644 nt
Filed under: Homo sapiens (human)
Lineage: Eukaryota; Metazoa; Chordata; Mammalia; Primates; Hominidae
Description: HSALNT0193337
Source: RNAcentral